AAGUGACAGUGAUGGAGCCGGGCAGCUGGAUGGCCCUGUUCUGGUCACCCUCCAUUCGACUUUGGCGGUUUGGGAGGGGGUGGGGCACGAGAAACAGAAGUGGCUGUGUGACGUGUUCCUCUCCUGUGGCCAUCUUGGCAGGCAACCAAGCAGUUGAGAACAGGCAGAUAUGACUUAAGGGUUUUCUGAACAAAAGAGGGCAGCAAUUGAAAAAGAGGGUUAAAGUCUCAUCUUGUUGGGCUUGGUUCCCUAGUGUUGGGUGGGGAAGUGACCCUUCAUGCUUGUGGGGGAGAGGGCCGGGGAGAAGCGGCCCUGCCUGCAGAGCACCGGAGUCAGGAAGGACCUUGAUGAGCACCCAGAGCAAGAAUGUGGGAAGGGAAGGGCUUGGAGAAGGAAACAGCCCUGCUGAGGCUCUCAGGGCUGGCUGAGAGGUUGUGUGGGCACCAGGACCCCAGCCUCCAGGAAUGGCAUCUGAGGGUGCAUCCUCUGAGCAUGGUGUGUCUGUCUGCUUACUUUCUCUCCAGUGCCACAGGCAGGGCUCUGACAGUGAUCUCACCCUUGCAGGGAGGAGGCAAAAAAGGGAGCAGAGGGACACCCUUAAGAACUGAAAGACUGAGAAUACCUUGGAAAAUAUAGCAUUGUUUCACCUGAACUAAAGAGAAAAAUUAAAGAAAUAGGUGGCACACAGGCUGAGAUGGGGGAAUCAGAAGAAGCAUGAGCAGAACAGCCCCAAGAGCCAGAGGGGAUCCCUGCAGGGGACCGAGCUGAAGAUGAAGGGCAGCAGGCCCGGAUGGUGCAAUCUUCCUCCCUGGAGGGCUCCUGUGCCAGAAAUUGCUUAAGCGUAAUUCCCUGAUGAGAUGAUGAAUGGAUCGGGGCCAACUUACCUUACUAGAAUACUCCAACUCUGAGGAUUAGUGGGCAAGGGUUCUGUUUUCUGCCUGCAACCAGACCCCCGUGGGAGGGCAGAAGACGGGCUUGAGGCUAAAGUGGCUGACAAAACGAGCAAGGUGGCAGAGGGCUGUCUGGCAGCCCCGGUGAACAGGCAGCAGCGAGCUCUUUCCCAGCUCAACCCAGGUCUUCUUGUCUGCGUGAGCAAGUAGCAAUCUGACCUUUUGCUAAGAAUUUUAACAGGAGAGUUCAUCUGGAGCAUCUCUUUUCACACAUUCAAAACAAGGGGGUAAUUGUACAGACCUUGGAGAAACAUGACUUUCCCUGAGGCUCAAGGUCUGUUUCCUCCUCAGAUGCCAAGAGGGACGUGAACAAAAGACUAGAUCCCUAAAGCCUGUGGGUUUUCAAAGGCCAGGUUUGAGAGCCUCAGUUUGAUUUUCUUCCUUCACAGAGUCUUGGGGAGAAGGCAUUUUGAAAAGUCCUUUGAGAGCCACUGGCUUCUGAGCUAUGUAUCUCAGUACUGUAUUUCUUUCAGAAUGCUGUCUAAUUCUUUCUGAAAAACCAGUAGAGAAGGAGACUACUUAAAGUCCAAAGAUCUCGACUCUUCUUGAUUAGAAAAUUCCUCCUAAUUCUACCCUGAUUUAAUUCUGGUGAGGUUUACGCCAUUUCCUUAUUCUAUGCUCAUGAGAAAUAAUUGUUCAUAUCCUCUCAUAAUUCUCUUUCACAUCCUUAAAGAUUUUCCUGCAGCAAUUCCCUAUGGGCUAUGUGGUUCGGACUGAUGCUACCUGUUGCAGCCUGGAGAGUAAAGAAAUAAGAUGGACACACUGAAAGAGUGGAGGUGUGUGUGUACAUGUGCUCACAUGCAUGUAUACGUGUGAGCACACAUGCCUGUGUGAGAGUGGUUACUCAAAGAAGACAAAUGCAUAAAGCAAUAUGGCUUUGAAACACAACCAGAGAUUUUAAGGGAUCCAAAAGGUACCAGCAUUUCUUAGAGACACAUUAACAGAUGCCCAGGAUGUACCCUUGGCCUUAUCAGAAACCUGCCUGGAGGAGGAGCACAAUGGGAAAGGAGUGUGGUGACCUUGGAGGCAUCUUGUGAAGAACAAGAGCAUCACCUCCUUAAAGGCCAUAAAAAUAAGGUCAGAAAAAAAUAAAAGGACAUGGAAAUGGGCAACACUUCUCUGAAGAAAGACUCCAUCAGCCCCUCCCCUGGGGUGGUCAUCUCCUCAUGCUGAUGGCUUUAGACCUGGCUCACGGUCCCCCUCUCCACACUGCUCAGUCAUGAGUCCCAGUGACUUCAAUGCCCAUCCUUCUAAUCUCUGCAGGGCCUCUCACACCCAUGCCUCCCGCUCCUCCUGUGCCUUUGUCCUCUGCUGCUUCAGCCCCUGCUUCCUUAGGUCUUCUCUAGACCAGGAACUGCAACCCCUCUUGAAUCUGAAUCUCAAACAUCCCACCCUCUCAUCACCUUGAUGCCAGAGAUGGCUGCAUGUCCACACAAAUUUGUAAUCUCUCUUCCAUAGUAUGGUUAUCUCUGUGAAGGGCCUGCCCACCCUCUGCAUGCCCAUGAGACUAGUUCUUGCCAAUGAAGUAUGAGUGGAAAUGAUGAGAACCACUUCUGAGCCCAGGCUGUAAAGAAAUGAGUUCUCUAGUUCCCCUUCUGUCAGCCACAUGCAGGUGAUCAUGGGGCUCUAAGGCAUGGCAGAGCCACAAGAUGGAAGAGGCCUGGGUUUCUGAAUUAGUGUAUGGAGAACUAUCUGCUGAAGAGGCACUCCUGUUUUUAGUUGUCUUGCUAGU
Manis pentadactyla (Chinese pangolin) is the source of this 2682-nucleotide long non-coding RNA. RefSeq lists it as uncharacterized. The transcript has 2 exons. NCBI's taxonomy places the organism in Eukaryota, Metazoa, Chordata, Mammalia, Pholidota, Manidae. The record is from RefSeq and is a predicted model, not a curated record.